ACCUGGCAUACAAUGUAGAAAACUGUGUUUGUAAAUCAACAGCUACAUUGUCUGCUGGGUUUC
RNAcentral lists this microRNA precursor (63 nucleotides) under Xenopus laevis (African clawed frog). Its description in RNAcentral is "Xla-Mir-221-P2a4_pre stem-loop". It matches the Rfam family "mir-221 microRNA precursor family", at positions 11 to 73 of the family's 84-position model. Lineage: Eukaryota; Metazoa; Chordata; Amphibia; Anura; Pipidae. The record is from RNAcentral.